GUGGGGAAUAUUGCGCAAUGGGGGAAACCCUGACGCAGCAACGCCGCGUGAGUGAUGAAGGUCCUCGGAUCGUAAAGCUCUGUCGGCAGGAAAGAAGGCAUGUAGGUCGAAUACACCGACAUGUUGACGGUACCUGCAAAGGAAGCACCGGCUAACUCUGUGCCAGCAGCCGCGGUAAUACAGAGGGUGCAAGCGUUGUUCGGAAUUAUUGGGCGUAAAGGGCGCGUAGGCGGUUGGUCAAGUCGGAUGUGAAAGCCCAGGGCUCAACCUUGGAAGUGCAUUCGAAACUGGUCAACUAGAGUUCACGGAGAGGGUGGUGGAAUUCCCAGUGUAGAGGUGAAAUUCGUAGAUAUUGGGAGGAACACCAGUGGCGAAGGCGACCACCUGGACGGAAACUGACGCUGAGGCGCGAGAGCGUGGGUAGCAAACAGG
Molecule: ribosomal RNA, 432 nt
Filed under: uncultured bacterium
Lineage: Bacteria
Description: bacterial SSU rRNA
Rfam family: Bacterial small subunit ribosomal RNA
Source: RNAcentral